This 442-nucleotide ribosomal RNA is filed under the name uncultured bacterium. RNAcentral describes it as "partial 16S ribosomal RNA". It matches the Rfam family "Bacterial small subunit ribosomal RNA", at positions 339 to 795 of the family's 1533-position model. The record is from RNAcentral.
CUACGGGUUGCUCCAGUGGGGAAUAUUGGGCAAUGGGCGCAAGCCUGACCCAGCAACGCCGCGUGAGGGAAGAAUGUCUUCGGAUUGUAAACCUCUGCCCUUGGGGACGAAAAAAAUGACGGUACCCAAGGAGGAAGCUCCGGCUAACUACGUGCCAGCGGCCGCGGUAAUACGUAGGGAGCAAGCGUUGUCCGGAAUUAUUGGGCGUAAAGGGUGCGUAGGCGGCGCUGUAAGUCAGAUGUGAAAUCCCCGGGCUUAACUCGGGAGUUGCAUUUGAAACUACAGUGCUUGAGUAAAGAAGGGGUAAGUGGAAUUCCUAGUGUAGCGGUGGAAUGCGUAGAUAUUAGGAGGAACACCAGUGGCGAAGGCGACUUACUGGUCUUUUACUGACGCUGAGGCACGAAAGCGUGGGGAGCAAACAGGAUUAGAUACCCUUGUAGUC